UUUACAAAUUCAACGAUUUCCAUGAAUGUUCAUAUACUUCAAUGUGACAUGUAAUUCAGUACUUAAAGUAUCUUAUAUGCAUAAAUGUAAUGUAUUAAUAUUAUAUAACCCAAGUUGAUACUUAAUUCAAUACAUCGAAGUAUCCUAAUAUACAAAAAAUUGAAUGAAAUCUUAUUAAGUGUUAUUUAUUUAUAUGAUAUUUUUUUAAAAACCUAAACAUGUUUAUACGAACAUCUUUUGACUAAGGUGCUGUUUGUUUGGGUCUGAAUGCCUCUUAAAAAGAGGCACAUCUGAAUUAAUAAAAUUCAGAUUGUUUGGUUGCAACUUAAUUUAUCAUCUUAAUUACAAAAAGAGAUCUGACCAAAUAAGAUAUAAACCCAUGUCUGGGUUUUUUUUUGUUUGUCACGCUUCCUAAUAUGCCCCGACCUAAACGCGCGUUCCCUCUUCUCCUCCACAUCGCUUGUUUCUUCAACCGUCUCUGGUUCUCCAUAUCGUUCGCAUCUCCGACCAUAUCCCUCCAGGUCUUCGCCGUCGCCAGCCCUUGAACCACCUCCACUGUCCGUCAACCCUCACACCCUUCUCCGACAGAUAUGCUGCUGCCAACGACUCCGAUCUGCGGUUGCAGGUGAAAUAGAUGAAGAUUUUGCAAGCUCAUUUUCCGACUUGUCAAAGUUGGUUGUCAUUUAUGUCUCAACAUUAGUUGGAUAUAGAUGUAUUGAAAGAUGAAAGCUCAAACUAAAGUAUGUGCCAUCUUAAAAGAUCAAAUCUUAAAAUUCCUUGGGAAAAAUUUUAACCUUCAAUGUCAAAUAUGUUGUAUUUUAACUAUGAAAUCCUUGGGACAUAAAAAAAUGAUUGUUAUUUUUGUAAAUUUAUCUCAAAAGAUCAUUACAAAUUAUUGUUGAUAAAUUUUGAUUUAUGUUAAUUUGCAUUUUGUAUGGUGUUUA
Long non-coding RNA from Lactuca sativa (garden lettuce), 944 nucleotides. RefSeq lists it as uncharacterized. The record is from RefSeq and is a predicted model, not a curated record. Lineage: Eukaryota; Viridiplantae; Streptophyta; Magnoliopsida; Asterales; Asteraceae.